RNAcentral lists this ribosomal RNA (253 nucleotides) under uncultured bacterium. Its description in RNAcentral is "partial 16S ribosomal RNA". It matches the Rfam family "Bacterial small subunit ribosomal RNA", at positions 524 to 776 of the family's 1533-position model. The record is from RNAcentral.
UACGUAGGGUGCGAGCGUUAAUCGGAAUUACUGGGCGUAAAGCGUGCGCAGGCUGUUUUGUAAGUCCGUUGUGAAAGUCAAAGGCUCAACCUUUGAAAGCCGAUGGAUACUGCAGAGCUAGAGUACGGAAGAGGCGAGUGGAAUUCCUGGUGUAGCGGUGGAAUGCGCAGAUAUCAGGAGGAACACCAAUAGCGAAGGCAGCUCGCUGGGACGUUACUGACACUGAGGCGCGAAAGCGUGGGGAGCGAACAGG